This 1251-nucleotide long non-coding RNA is filed under the name Canis lupus dingo (dingo). Its description in RNAcentral is "lncRNA (ENSCAFG00020020118.1)". Lineage: Eukaryota; Metazoa; Chordata; Mammalia; Carnivora; Canidae. The record is from RNAcentral.
ACGUGUGGGUCGCGGCUGCUGAGCGCCCGCCGAGGCCGUCGUCGGGGCGCCCCGGGCCGGGCAGUGCCGUCUGCGCGGGGCCCGAGGCGGCCCGAGACCCGGAGGCCGAGCAGGCGCCACGCGGGAUGGAGGAGGCGAAGCGUCGGAAGCAGCGCGGACCACCUCGGUGGGAGGCUGCGGCGUGGGGGGUCCUGGGUGCCGGCAGCACCGGGCGGGGACGCCUCCGAGAAGGCGGCCGCCCAGACCGCCAGCGCCGCCGCGCACCUCUGCCGGCACCGGAGCGCGGGUGGAGCACAGGUGGGCGGGGAGCGCGGGUGGAGCGCAGGUGGGCGGGAGCGCGGGUGGCCACAGGUGGGCGGGAGCGCAGGUGGAGCGCAGGUGGGCGGGAGCGCGUGUGACCACAGGUGGGCGGGAGCGCGGGUGGUGCGCAGGUGUGCGGGAGCGCGGGUGGCCACAGGUGGGCGGGAGCGCGGGUGGAGCACAGGUGUGCGGGAGCGCGGGUGGCGCACAGGUGGUGCGGGAGCGCGGGUGACCCGCAGGUGGGCGGGAGUGCGGGUGGCGCGCAGGUGUGUGAGAGCGCGGGUGACCACAGGUGGGCGGGAGCGCGGGUGGCGCACAGGUGUGCGGGAGCCUGUGUGGGGCACAGGGGUGCGGGGAGUGAGCGUGGCCACAGGUGUGCGGGAGCGCGGGGUGGCGCACAGGUGCGCGGGAGUGUGUGUGGCCGCAAGUGCACGGGAGCACGCGCGGCCGACGGGAGUAGGGAGCAUGUGUGGCGCACAGGUGUACCGGGUGGGGGCGAGCAGCCCCCGCGCAGGCCCACGGACCUGGGUGGGAGCCGUCGGCGCGGGCUCCCAGGGAGCACGUCCCCCGUCCGUCCACCUUAGGCAGGUGCCUGCUCCCCGGGCUCCUGGGCCCCGCGCUCCAGAAGCUGCCCUGUGCGCAGGCGGGAGCGGCAGAGGGGAGCUCCCUGCGGGCCAGCGCGGGGGGGCAAGGCGGCGCCCCUGCCCUGGUGCUGAGGACUGCGGGAGGCCGGUCCCAGGGCGCCUCGGCCUGCCAGCGCAGGGUUCCCUUCAGGGGCUGCUGGCCGAUCCCUACGGGGGCUCUGGAGACCGCGCAUCUGAGGACGACAGCAGCCUUCUCCGAGCGGGUGACAGCAUGGAGCGGCACUGGGCCCACACGGCAUACCCUGGCCCGGCAACUAGGAAGUGUGCAGUUGCAUUAUGUCUAAAAAAAUGUACGUACCUCUAUUAA